CGCAUAACAUUCCGGGGACCUCGGUCCCUGGUUUCAAAGGCGUAAGUCGUCGGAGGAGGAGCCCGCGCACGAUUAGCUAGUUGGUAGGGUAACGGCCUACCAAGGCUAUGAUCGUUAGCUGGUCUGAGAGGAUGGCCAGCCACACUGGAACUGAGACACGGUCCAGACUCCUACGGGAGGCAGCAGUGGGGAAUAUUGCGCAAUGGGCGAAAGCCUGACGCAGCGACGCCGCGUGGGGGAUGAAGCUUCUCGGAGUGUAAACCCCUUUCGACCCGGACGAAUGCCCCGCAAGGGGAGUGACGGUACGGGUAUAAGAAGCCCCGGCUAACUACGUGCCAGCAGCCCGCGGUAAUACGUAGGGGGCCAGCGUUGCUCGGAAUUACUGGGUGUAAAGGGUUCGUAGGCGGUGCGGCAAGUCGGGAGUGAAAUCUUCUGGGCUCAACCCAGAGGCUGCUUCCGAAACUGCCGUGCUCGAAUGUGGGAGAAGCGUGUGGAAUUGC
This 500-nucleotide ribosomal RNA is filed under the name uncultured bacterium. RNAcentral's name for it is "bacterial SSU rRNA". It matches the Rfam family "Bacterial small subunit ribosomal RNA", at positions 170 to 670 of the family's 1533-position model. The record is from RNAcentral.